Molecule: ribosomal RNA, 466 nt
Filed under: uncultured bacterium
Lineage: Bacteria
Description: partial 16S ribosomal RNA
Rfam family: Bacterial small subunit ribosomal RNA
Source: RNAcentral
GACGAACGCUGGCGGCGUGCUUAACACAUGCAAGUCGAACGGAAAGGCCCUGCUUGCAGGGUACUCGAGUGGCGAACGGGUGAGUAACACGUGGGUGAUCUGCCCUGCACUUCGGGAUAAGCUUGGGAAACUGGGUCUAAUACCGGAUAGGAACCAUCUUUAGUGUGGUGGUUGGAAAGUUUUUUCGGUGUAGGAUGAGCUCGCGGCCUAUCAGCUUGUUGGUGGGGUAAUGGCCUACCAAGGCGGCGACGGGUAGCCGGCCUGAGAGGGUGUACGGCCACAUUGGGACUGAGAUACGGCCCAGACUCCUACGGGAGGCAGCAGUGGGGAAUAUUGCACAAUGGGCGCAAGCCUGAUGCAGCGACGCCGCGUGGGGGAUGAAGGCCUUCGGGUUGUAAGCUCCUUUCGCUAGGGACGAAGCUUUGUUGUGACGGUACCUAGAUAAGAAGCACCGGCUAACUACGUG